RNAcentral lists this ribosomal RNA (433 nucleotides) under uncultured bacterium. RNAcentral describes it as "partial 16S ribosomal RNA". It matches the Rfam family "Bacterial small subunit ribosomal RNA", at positions 29 to 507 of the family's 1533-position model. The record is from RNAcentral.
AACGAACGCUGGCGGCAUGCCUAACACAUGCAAGUCGAACGAGACCUUCGGGUCUAGUUGCGCAGGUGUGCUUACCGCGUGGGAACCUGCCCUUAGGUUCGGAAUCACUCCCCGAAAGGGGUCCUAAUACCGGUUAAUGUCUUCGGACCAAAGAUUUAUGGCCUUUGGAUGGGCCCGCGUUGGAUUAGCUAGUUGGUAGGGUAAAAGCCUACCAAGGCGACGAUCCAUAGCUGGUCUGGGAGGAGGAUCAGCCACACUGGGAAUGAGACACGGCCCAGACUCGGACGGGAGGGAGCAGUGGGGAAUAUUGGACAAUGGGCGAAAGCCUGAUCCAGCAAUGCCGCGUGAGUGAUGAAGGCCUUAGGGUUGUAAAGCUCUUUUACCCGGGAUGAUAAUGACAGUACCGGGAGAAUAAGCUCCGGCUAACUCCGUG